UCUCCUGGAAAAGGGUGGUAAUGCCGGAUGCUCCAGUUGAUCGCAUGGUCUUCUGGGAAAGCUUUCGCGGUAUGGGAUGGGGUCGCGUCCUAUCAGCUUGACGGCGGGGUAACGGCCCACCGUGGCUUCGACGGGUAGCCGGCCUGAGAGGGCGACCGGCCACAUUGGGACUGAGAUACGGCCCAGACUCCUACGGGAGGCAGCAGUGGGGAAUAUUGCACAAUGGGCGCAAGCCUGAUGCAGCGACGCCGCGUGAGGGAUGGAGGCCUUCGGGUUGUAAACCUCUUUUAUCGGGGAGCAAGCGAGAGUGAGUUUACCCGUUGAAUAAGCACCGGCUAACUACGUGCCAGCAGCCGCGGUAAUACGUAGGGUGCAAGCGUUAUCCGGAAUUAUUGGGCGUAAAGGGCUCGUAGGCGGUUCGUCGCGUCCGGUGUGAAAGUCCAUCGCUUAACGGUGGAUCCGCGCCGGGUACGGGCGGGCUUGAGUGCGGUAGGGGAGACUGGAAUUCCCGGUGUAACGGUGGAAUGUGUAGAUAUCG
RNAcentral lists this ribosomal RNA (538 nucleotides) under Bifidobacterium longum subsp. infantis. RNAcentral describes it as "bacterial SSU rRNA". It matches the Rfam family "Bacterial small subunit ribosomal RNA", at positions 146 to 699 of the family's 1533-position model. RNAcentral also lists the same sequence under 1 other name. Lineage: Bacteria; Bacillati; Actinomycetota; Actinomycetes; Bifidobacteriales; Bifidobacteriaceae. The record is from RNAcentral.